GAGUCCUCUGGCCCCGCCCCACGAAAUCCGGGCCUCUCAAGCGCGGCGGUUGCGGUUUUGGGGAUGAAGCUACCGAUUUGGUCCUAGAGACGCCGCCUGGGGGUCCGCGGUUUCUUCCUCCCACAGCGGAGGGGAUGUGAACACCUGCUUCGUGGAGCUCCUGAUUAUGGUGUACACAUGGAAGACCUCUCGUGCCAAGAGCAUCAUCGGCGUGAUUCCCUGCUUUCCUUACAGCAAAUGGUGCAAACUGAGGAAGAGGCUCAAUCAUCUCUAAAUUAUUUGAUUCCAUGAUAUGCAAAGCUGCAUGCAUUGCCGCAGUCCGGCUGGGCAACAUAACCGGGAGGUGACAAGCAACUUGAAGGUUGAAGCAGGAACUGUUUUAUUGCAAGGAAACUCAGCGGGAACUGAGCAGGAACUCAAAGUAGCGGGCACCCAAGCUAGCGGGAGCCGCCUUAUUGCGGAACAGCAGAGGUAUAUAUACCUAACUGAUUACGCACAGCUUGACUCAAUUAGCAUCAUCUAGAUACAGCAGUCAGCCAAUAAGGAAUCCCCAUCAUCUAAAUGGCUCGGUGGUGUUGCCUCACAAACCACUCCUCCUGGCAAACUGCCAGGAACCAUCUUGACAUGAUUUGCGGUCCCCAACAAUGCAUCCUGAAAUUUUUAAGGCUCUCAUGAAUAUGAGUAUUAGCAGUGCGUAAUGGAUAAUUUAUCCUAUGUCUGGAACCAAUUUGGGAUGUGCAAGCAUAUGGUGUCAAACUUGAGGAGCCUAUAGAAUGAAUCUGCCCAAGAGCAUUGUCUGUUGACUACAUUAUGUUUGUAUGCUAAAGAAUCUGUUUCCAUUACAUGUACUAUCUGUGAGACAAUGUGAUUUGUGUUGUUAAGGUGUUCUUAUAUCCAGUGUUAUUUGGGCAUCCUGUCUUUGUAGUUGUUCGAUAUUAUGUUUAAUCUGGUUUUGAAGUUGCUUCAUAUAUUUCAAUUGUAUGUCUGGUUUAUCCUCAUCUUCAACCAAUACCAUAUUAAUUUGUAAUGUGUGUUUCAUCUGUAUCCAUUGGUUUGAGAAUGCUGUUAUAUUUUUACCUGAUUUAGUGUGUGAUGUCAACUUCCAUGUGUUGGAUACCGUGGCAUCCUGUUAUAAACAAUGGAAUAUUACUUAGCAUUAUAAAAGAACAAAAUCAUGGCAUUUGAAGGUAAAUGAAUGGCAUUGGAGAAGAUAAUGCUAAGUGAAGAUAGCCAAUCUCAAAUGGCAUCCUGCUUCAUGGGUUGUUUUACAUUCACCAAAACACGUAUUUGUGUCAGGAUAUUCAGAUUAAUAAUAAUAAUAAUCCUCACAGUUCCAAUUGUGUACAUUCAUAUUUGGAUGCUAUUAUGUUCAUUUUUAUCCAUUUUCUGUAUAAAAGCAUCAUAAUAUUCCUUUUGGGCUAUUAGUGUCUGAA
Molecule: long non-coding RNA, 1433 nt
Filed under: Marmota monax (woodchuck)
Lineage: Eukaryota; Metazoa; Chordata; Mammalia; Rodentia; Sciuridae
Source: RNAcentral